This 491-nucleotide ribosomal RNA is filed under the name uncultured bacterium. RNAcentral's name for it is "partial 16S ribosomal RNA". It matches the Rfam family "Bacterial small subunit ribosomal RNA", at positions 29 to 507 of the family's 1533-position model. The record is from RNAcentral.
GUGAACGCUGGCGGUAGGCCUAACACAUGCAAGUCGAACGGCAGCACAGUAAGAGCUUGCUCUUACGGGUGGCGAGUGGCGGACGGGUGAGGAAUACAUCGGAAUCUACUUUUUCGUGGGGGAUAACGUAGGGAAACUUACGCUAAUACCGCAUACGACCUACGGGUGAAAGCAGGGGAUCUUCGGACCUUGCGCGAUUGAAUGAGCCGAUGUCGGAUUAGCUAGUUGGCGGGGUAAAGGCCCACCAAGGCGACGAUCCGUAGCUGGUCUGAGAGGAUGAUCAGCCACACUGGAACCGAGACACGGUCCAGACUCCUACGGGAGGCAGCAGUGGGGAAUAUUGGACAAUGGGCGCAAGCCUGAUCCAGCCAUACCGCGUGGGUGAAGAAGGCCUUCGGGUUGUAAAGCCCUUUUGUUGGGAAAGAAAAGCAGCAGGUUAAUACCCCGCUGUUCUGACGGUACCCAAAGAAUAAGCACCGGCUAACUUCGUG